AUUGAACGCUGGCGGCAUGCCUUACACAUGCAAGUCGAACGGCAGCACGGGUGCUUGCACCUGGUGGCGAGUGGCGAACGGGUGAGUAAAGUUUCGGAACGUGCCUGGUAGUGGGGGCUAACUAGUCGAAAGACUAGCUAAUACUGCAUACGAUCUAAGGAUGAAUGCAGGGGACCUUCGGGCCUUGUGCUAUCAGAACGGCCGAUAUCUGAUUAGCUAGUUGGUGGGGUAAAAGCCCACCAAGGCGACGAUCAGUAGCUGGUCUGAGAGGACGACCAGCCACACUGGAACUGAGACACGGUCCAGACUCCUACGGGAGGCAGCAGUGGGGAAUUUUGGACAAUGGGGGCAACCCUGAUCCGGCAAUGCCGCGUGAGUGAAGAAGGCCCUCGGGUUGUAAAGCUCUUUUGUCAGGGAAGAAAAGGCUGUGGCUAAUAUCCACAGCUGCUGACGGUACCUGAAGAAUAAGCACCGGCUAACUACGUGCCAGCAGCCGCCGCAG
RNAcentral lists this ribosomal RNA (502 nucleotides) under uncultured bacterium. Its description in RNAcentral is "partial 16S ribosomal RNA". It matches the Rfam family "Bacterial small subunit ribosomal RNA", at positions 30 to 523 of the family's 1533-position model. The record is from RNAcentral.